GCUCAUUUUUACGUUCACAAAA
This 22-nucleotide microRNA is filed under the name Centruroides sculpturatus (bark scorpion). RNAcentral describes it as "Csc-Mir-2001_3p* (star (passenger))". Lineage: Eukaryota; Metazoa; Arthropoda; Arachnida; Scorpiones; Buthidae. The record is from RNAcentral.